GGCAGCGCCACACGGCGGCGCAGUGAUGGAUGUUAACAGCAGCGGCCACCCGGACCUCUACGGGCGCCUCUGCUCUUUCCUCCUGCCGGAGGUGGGGGGCAGGCUGCCCGACCUGAGCCCCGACGGUGGCGCCGAACCGGUCGCGGUCUCCGGGACGCCGCAUCUGCUGAGCGGGGGCCCCCGAGGUGACGGCCAGCCCGGCGCCCACCUGGGACGCAACCCCGGGCAAUGCCUCCGGCCGCGGGGAGCAAAUCAAGAAAGGGCCGAGAAAGUUGUGAUCGGCUCUGUCCUGACGCUCAUCUCUCUGCGAUCGCGGGCAACUGCCUGGUGGUAUCUCCGUGUGCUUCGUCAAGAAGCUCCGCCAGCCCUCCAACUACCUGAUCGUGUCCAUGGCGCUGGCCAACCUCUCGGUGGCCAUGGCGGUCAUGCCCUUCAUCAGUGUCACCGACCUCAUCGGGGGCAAGUGGAUCUUUGGACACUUUUUCUGUAACGUCUUCUCCAUGAAUGUCAUGUGCUGCACGGCCUGGAUCUUGACCUUGUACGUGAUCAGCAUCGACAGGUACCUUGGGAUCAUGAAGCCUCUCACGUACCCUAUGAGGCAGAAGGGGAAAUGCAUGACGAAGAUGAUUCUUUCUGUCUGCCUUCUUUCCGCCUUUGUCACUUUACCUACCAUUUUUGGUCGGGCUCAGAAUGUAAACGAUGAUAAGGUGUGCUUGGUCAGUCAAGACUUUGGCUACACGAUUUACUCCACCGCAGUGGCAUCCUAAUCCCCAUGUGCGUCAUGCUUUUCAUGUACUAACAGAUUUACAAGGCCGCCAGGAAAAGCGCGGCCUAACACAGGUUACCUGGCUUCCCUCGAGUGGAGCCAGACAGCAGUAGUCACCCUGAAUGGCACAGUGAAGUUCCAGGAGGUGGAAGAGUGUGCAAACCUUUCGAGACUCCUCAAGCAUGAAAGGAAAAAAUAUCUCCAUCUUUAAGCGGAAACAGAAAGCAGCGACUACCUUGGGGAUCAUCGUCUGGGCCUCCACCAUGUGCUGGCCGCCCUUUUUCCUCCUGACAGCCAGACCCUUCUGUCUAUGGCACUGCCUGCAGCUGCAUCCCACUGUGGGUGGAGAGGAUAUUUCCAUGGCUGGGCUAUGCAAACUCUCUCAUUAACCCUUUUAUUUAUGCCUUCUUCAACUGGGACCUGAGGACCACCUAUUGCAGCCGGCUCCAGUGCCAGUACCAGAAUAUCAACCAGACACUCUCAGCUGCAGGCAUGCAUGAAGCCCUGAAGCUUGCUGAGAGGCCAGAGAGACCUGAGUUUGUCCUACAAAACUCUGACUACUGUAGAAAAAAAAGUCAUGAUUCAUGACUGAAAGAGGGAUAAUGGAGAUGAAAUAAACAAGGCAAAAUAGAGGUGGAAACAGAAGAAAGUCAUUUGCCAAGACUGCAGAAUGGAAUGCAGCUUCUGUCCUUUCUUAGGAUGGCUAAAACGUGACAAACAGCAUGACCUGAUGUACAACAUAUCUUAUGAGGGAGAUGGUGACCUCUCCUUUUUUCUGUGGAUCAGUGUUAUUGUGUGUUCUCAGUUUAAGAUAGCAGAUCAUCUCAGCAGUAAGCACACUGACAGAAUUGAGUUCCAGAAAGGAAGCAGUUUCAGGUUCUUAGCACAUGUCCAAAUCCAUGCAAGUGGGAGAAAGUUCCAAUGCACACUUUCCAUGCUUCCGAGUCUAGGUCUCGUGGUGAAUAUUCAGCAAUCAUUCAUGAGAAAGAAUGUAUUUUGUUGUAUGACAGAAGGGUUUACCAAGCAAACUGUGGUAAGCAUAGUAUCGAAUAUGUUGCAUGUCCAUUUUAGAAAACAGAGCCCAGUCAUCAGCUAAUACAAAUGAUUUCCCAGAGCAGUGUUUGUUUCAAGCUUCUGUCAAAUAGUUUGGCUUUUCUGCAGGGUCCCUGUAACUUCCCCACAAAUGUACUUCUUUGUUAAUUCACUUAUUGUUAUGGUGUGGCUCAGGAACAGGUCUCAGGAUGGAGAGCAGCAUACAACCUGAACAAAGCUUUUUCUUGUGCUCUGAAGGGUCCUGAGACGUGAGGGGGAUGCCUUCCAUGAGGAUUUUUAUCUCAGUGAAGUGCGAGUGGUACCCACCUGUAUUGUCAUUAACAUGAUUAUUGGCAUGUUUUUGACUCUCAUUUUUCACAAGGGUGCAGUGGGGCCAUGGACCAUCCCAUGGGAUGGUCCAUAACUGUAUGUUAUAUGGAAAUAGUGUGGGAAUAAUGGGUUUUCCAUGAAAGGUUGUGAUGCUUCUGGAGAUGGGGGCAUAAACGUGUUCAUUCUUGUUGAGCAGCAUUGUGUUAAACCAAAUUGUGUGAAGUGGAGGUCACCUGGACCACUCCUGGGAAAUGCUCCAGAACACCAGUCUGUUCCUUCUAGAAAUUUGUUCUCUGUAUUUAUUUUUAUUUUUUAUUUUGAGGCAGUGUCUCACCCAUCCUGUCUCCCAGGCUGGAGUGCAGUGGUGCGAUCUCGGCUCACUGCAACCUCUGCCUCCUGGGUUUAAGCAAUUCUCCUGCCUCUGCCUCCCAAGUAGCUGAGAUUACAGGCACCUGCCACCACACCUGGCUAAUUUUCGUAUUUUUAGUAGAGAAGGAGUUUCACCAUGUUGGCCAGGCUGGUCUCAAACUCCUGAUCUCAGUUGAUCCACCUGCCUUGGACUCCCAAAGUGCUGAGAUUACAGGUGUGAGCCACUGUGCCCAGCCUGUUCUCUGUAUCUUAAAUCAACUCUGUGCCAAAGCAGUUCUGUCCCCUGACUCCCACCCCUACCCACCAAAAAGUGGUAGACAUGAAGGGCAGGUAAGGGAACAGAAAAUGUCUCCUUGCAGCUAUAUAUAUUUUAAACGAACUGUGUAAUAAGUAUGAGCUAAGGAGACAGAAAGACAGUAGAUGAGAAAAGAAGAGUACCUAUACCUACAAGGGGCAAAAUGAAUGCAAUCCUUCAUUUGAUAAGAGAGAACUGAAAGAGAAUAUUAUUUUUCUACAAUAAAGCAAGCUGUCCUCUCAGGAUAAAGUGGAAUUUCGACAUGGAUUAUGGACUUCUUCCAACUCCCAUUGACAUUGCUUCUUACCACACAUGGGGAAGGGCUGCCUUUCCUGAAAGGGGAAGAAGGCACUGUCCUUUCAGACAAAGUUUGUACAAAUUCCUGAACUGCAGAUUUGCUAAUGUGACCGCGUAUACUUAUAUUCAUAAUUUAAGUGAUUGUUUAUGGUCAGAUACAUAUUGUUAAACUUGAAAAUGUUUUAUUACAUUACAUCAAAUAAAGUCUAUUUGUAGCUGAAAAAACUAAAAAUAAUAAAAAGGAGGAAACUGAGGCUUAAAACAAUUAAGUAACUUUCCCAGGCAACAACUAAUGUGUGGCUUGGUGAGGAUUUGAACUCAUGUCUGUGUUGUCAGCGUCCAUAAUGCUUUGUACUCUGUCACCCUGGCUUUUCCGACCUGUAUCUACAUCUACAUAUGGCACUGCUUUCCAAAUACUUUCUAAAUG
RNAcentral lists this long non-coding RNA (3516 nucleotides) under Homo sapiens (human). RNAcentral's name for it is "non-protein coding lnc-FAM234B-2:6". The record is from RNAcentral. Lineage: Eukaryota; Metazoa; Chordata; Mammalia; Primates; Hominidae.